Molecule: long non-coding RNA, 1085 nt
Organism: Sycon ciliatum
Lineage: Eukaryota; Metazoa; Porifera; Calcarea; Leucosolenida; Sycettidae
Exons: 3
Source: RefSeq, a predicted model, not a curated record
UGAGCCAAAACGAGUCUUGACCAACCCUAAUGCCGAAAAUGACGGACUAGCCUCGGAUCAAAAUUCCCGUGACAGUCCAAUACGUGGCACUGCAUCACCUCUCAAUGAUGAUAUACCAGUUUACAGCAAGGUUAACAAGACCUGUCAUCGAGACAGCGUAGAAGAGUGACUUUGAACUUGUCUUCUUUCCCAUCUUGGUUGUGCUUCCGCGCAUUUCGCUGCCGGGACAAAACACGUGAAUGCACCUCUCUUCACAGUGCCGCCAUGAACCCAUCCUCAAUGGACAUCUCAGCAUUAUGCACCACCGCCUGUUCCUCUUUAUCCAGACUUUUAUUAGUAUGUUGUUGUCAUGUAAGCAAUGCUCCUCUCAUCUCACUCUCGUGUUCAAUUUACCCGACUCUUCCUAGUGACGGUCAGUGGAGCCGUGUCUUCAUUGUCCGUGUUCGGUCGUUCCUGGACUAACGAUCUAACUAAGGAUUAGGCACUUAACGUCCAAGAAGCGAGAGAGGAAGAAAAUGGAAGACAGAGAGAGAAAAGAGAAAUUCAUAGCCUUCUGUUUGAGCUGCGAGACUGCUCGAAAUGAUGGUCACUCCAGUGUUGGCUGCGUUCGUGUUCCCAGCUCUGGAUGGACAGUAUCUACUUGCCUUACCCCUCCCUGCUCUCCUUUUUUGUAUUACCUCUCAAUUGUUUCGCCUUGUCCCUGUUGUAAUUUGCGAUCAUCUUGCUUACUUAAAGUCAAACAGUGAGGUUUUUGUUCUAUAUACUUCUUUCGGUGACACAAUCUCUCUACCUUAUUGGUUGAAUAAUGCAUGCUACUUGGUUGGUGGAUUUCUCGGCUGAGUGUACCGUCUUCGUGAUCCACCAAGGCCAAGGUGCGGCAACUUGGUUCCUUGCAAUGCCUGCAUAAAACGCUUUCAUUUCACCCUUUUGUGCUCUUCCCUUUGCUUCCGUCUGCUGGACAGCAAAAAAACCUCUCUCUUUCCAACAUGUCUUGUCGGAUUUUGCUUGCUGCAAAAUGCAUCCCAAUUCUUUUACAUGAUUUUUUGCUGUGUGUCUCAUGCAUGACCGGUUUAAGGUUUGAAAUC